RNAcentral lists this ribosomal RNA (459 nucleotides) under uncultured bacterium. RNAcentral's name for it is "partial 16S ribosomal RNA". It matches the Rfam family "Bacterial small subunit ribosomal RNA", at positions 338 to 795 of the family's 1533-position model. The record is from RNAcentral.
CCUACGGGAGGCAGCAGUGAGGAAUAUUGGUCAAUGGACGAGAGUCUGAACCAGCCAAGUAGCGUGAAGGAUGACUGCCCUAUGGGUUGUAAACUUCUUUUAUAUGGGAAUAAAAUGUUCCACGUGUGGGCUUUUGUAUGUACCAUAUGAAUAAGCAUCGGCUAACUCCGUGCCAGCAGCCGCGGUAAUACGGAGGAUGCGAGCGUUAUCCGGAUUUAUUGGGUUUAAAGGGUGCGCAGGCGGCCUGUUAAGUCAGCGGUAAAAGCCCGGGGCUCAACCCCGGCGAGCCGUUGAAACUGGCGGGCUGGAGUUGGAGAGAAGUACGCGGAAUGCGCGGUGUAGCGGUGAAAUGCUUAGAUAUCGCGCAGAACCCCGAUUGCGAAGGCAGCGUACCGGCUCCACACUGACGCUGAGGCACGAAAGCGUGGGUAUCGAACAGGAUUAGAUACCCGAGUAGUC